UCCACCUCGUCGAUAGAGGCUCCACGUUUUAUCAUUAAUGCAAGCUGUUCUACAUCACCAGCUUUCACUGCCUCAUGUACACUGGUGCUCUAAGAAGUCUUGAAGAGGCAGGUUGUUGUUCUGCAAGUCAAGCAUACACAGAAAUAUUGGUCUUAAGUUAUUAGAGCCUCAGUUUUCCUGCCCGUGGAGAAGAAAUUGAGGCAACAGUUCAAAUAGUUAUAAAUGUGAGAUCAAAAAUGUUAAAGCAUAUCAAUGAGUUGCUGCUCAAAGGUGCCUGGCGUACAUAAAAGCAGAAAUUAUGAUGAAAACAGCUGACGUUGUUUACCAGUACUUAUACCUGUUCCCAUGUAGUCUGUAGCAUGAAAGUAAUGCUUGGCCAGAUUCAGCACUGCCACAGAGAGGAAAAGAGGGGGUUAAACUGUUUCAUUAAGCAAAGCUGAGUGUUGUAUCACACCCUGGUGUACCAUCACUUCACUCCCACUCCCCUCAGCGCCAGGCUGUACCACUGCCCUGCACAGAGGCAGCAAAACAGUGCAUGAACCAACACCAGCUGCAACUCAGAACAGCUCAUGUUGGAAGGGACCUCCUGGGGUCCAUGUUUUUAAAUAGAACUUAAGUACAUGCAGCA
Coturnix japonica (Japanese quail) is the source of this 628-nucleotide non-coding RNA. NCBI's taxonomy places the organism in Eukaryota, Metazoa, Chordata, Aves, Galliformes, Phasianidae. The record is from RefSeq and is a predicted model, not a curated record.